GGCUUGUUGGCUCAGCUGGUAGAGCACUGCACCGUUAUUGCAGAGGUCAUGGGUUUGAAUCUCGUACAAGCCU
Stylophora pistillata is the source of this 73-nucleotide non-coding RNA. The record is from the annotation of a RefSeq genome assembly. Lineage: Eukaryota; Metazoa; Cnidaria; Anthozoa; Scleractinia; Pocilloporidae.